Molecule: unclassified non-coding RNA, 3077 nt
Filed under: Hevea brasiliensis (rubber tree)
Lineage: Eukaryota; Viridiplantae; Streptophyta; Magnoliopsida; Malpighiales; Euphorbiaceae
Source: RNAcentral
UUUGAAACUAAUCCUAAAACCCACGAAACUAAUUCUUAGCAAGCAAAAGCAGUGUCCUGCGCUGCCCAAGGGGCAACACCAAAGCGAAAUCUUUUUGUUACCUCGUAAUAACCAAACUCCCUUAUCAAAUUCCUAUAUAAUUUGAUUUAAGCAAACAAAGAUUACUGCACCAUCUUAAACUGCAAUGGCUCAAGCAGUCCAUCUCAUCGCUAAGAACCUUCCAGGUAUUUAUUUUUCUAUUCUGUGUUCUCUGUUUGCUUCCUAGGAAACAAAGGGAAAAAGAGGAACGAAAACUUGCGCUCUUUCGAGGUUUUUAAUUCCCAGUAGUUACUUUCCUAUCAAACGAAUUUGCAGCGGCUCAGAUAUAUUAAUUGUAUUAGCUUCAAGGAGUCCAAGAUUCCACCUGUUUGGCGUGUUGCAUUUCCUGGAACUUUCUUGUGAUUUUUUAUUUUUACAUUCCGCUGGUACGAAGAGAUUGUUGCCCACCAUCUAUUCGAUGAAAUGAUUUUAGUUAUCGCAUGGUGAGAGAGGCUUCUCUUCUGUUUUCUAGCUUGUGUUUUAACUUGCAUUCUUUUUCUUCAAAACUGAGGUAUUCACUUUUUGCUCGUUAUCUUGAUGGUACUGGUGUUUCUCUUUCUUUGAUUGGCUUUUUCUAACUUGCUUGUUUCUUGUUGCGUUUGAUCCUUAUAUUGUUUUAGAUAUUGAAUCGACAUAUUCCGUGGAUUCUUUUGAGUUGGAAACUUGAAAAUUUUCUUUCUACAUAUGAUAAUAGAUUUGUUUUAGACUUUGGCCUUUUUGGCAUUUGUAUACUCUUCGAGAAUUUAACGAGUAUAUGAUUUCUGGAGUUGGCUUGAUUUCCUUGAUAUUCCUUCUAUGGCUACUCCUCAAAAUAUUCUUUAAUUUAGCCUAUAUUUGGUAGAUGUGCAUCUUAAAAUUAUGUUAGCACUUGAGUUGGUGGCAAUGGUAAACUUCAUUAGUGAUAGUGGGGACACAGGUAGAUUUGUUCAUGGUUUUGGUGAGAUUUAACUUAUGACAUACAAGUAGUUGGCUAGUGGGGAGGGAUGCUUCAACGUACAACAUUAGUAAUGGCUGCACAUACAAUCUCUUGUUACUUCAUUUGCCAGUGGUUGGAAGGGAAGGAACUCUUAUAUAUCUAGAGUGGUGCCUAUCUUCUUUUUUGGCUUCAUAAAUACUUGUCGGAAUGGUGGAAGUGUAUGAUUGUGGUAGAACGUGUAGUGGUGAUUUUGUGAAAGAUGGUGUUGUUUCUUGUAUUUAAUUCAUUAUUGAAGUGCAGAGAGUAGAUGUAGUAAAGCAUAGAUGGUUCUAUGUGCAAAUUGCAAAGGACAGGCAAAAAGAUUGCUCUAUCCAAUGCAUGGAAACUAAGAAGGUUGCAGGGAUGAUGCUGGAAACAUAGCAUUUUCAGCAAGAUUGUAUUUUAUUUCAAUUUGUGGGCGAUAAAAGUUGUUAGACACUGUCACAACAUUUUUCUUUGGUUGACUCUCACGGUGAGAGUGAAGUUCUUGAAGUCCAGAAUUUCAUUCUCAUCAAACAAAAACAAAAACCAAAUCUAGAAUUUCAGAAUAAUCUUCCUGUUUUUAUUUAUGGGUAUAUGCUUCUUGUAGGUUAUGAACCUUCAGAAGGCAGGUAUCUCCCUCGUUCAGAAAUUUCUGGAAGAGCAGUCGCUGUAUCCACUUGUUCUUCUCAUGGUAAUCAAAGAAUUCAUUCACAGGUUAAGAUUGGAUCAAUAAAAUGUGCUUCUGGAGCCGCAUCUUUUGUGUGCAGAGCAAGUUCUGGUGGUCCUAAGAGAAACCUAGACUUCUCAAAGCAAAGCAGACGGACUUUCUCUCGAAACAGUAACAGACAAAAUGAAGAGAGAGACAGCUUUGAAAAUCUUGAUGAAUCUGAUUUGUUAACUUCGAAGAAUGGGCCAUUACUUUCCCUCCCCAAUACCCCCAAAUUCCAAGCCACUGCAGCCCCAGGGCCAAGAGAGAAAGAGAUUGUUGAGCUAUUCAGGAAGGUACAGGCUCAGCUGCGUGAAAGAGCUGCAGUCAAAGAAGACAAGAAGGUCGAAACCUCCAAAGGAAAAGGUAAAGAGAGUGAAACUGUGAAUUCACUCCUUAAGCUGCUGAGGAAACACUCAAUUGAGCAAGGUAAGAAAAAAGCUGGCGGUCGAGACUUAGCUGUGGACCAACAGGAACAUAGUGGAUCAAACAGGGAGGAUAAAAGCACAAGUUUCCUUGAUCCAAAUAACAAAGAAAGGAGUGGAGUCCUAGAACCUAAUUCGUCAUCUUUUGCCAGACCACCAUCAAAUUUCCGCCGCAAGUCUCCAGUUCCUCAAGUGAAAUUUAAGCCCGAAUAUUCAAAUGAGGAUCCUGUUAAUUCUUCAUCUUAUUUGAAUUUAAAUGGUGAGAAAAAGAAGCAAUUUGAGGUGAUUCCUGACACUGCCCAGCAGCCAGAAUUGGUGCCAGAGGAGGCAGAGUCAGAGUUGGAGCAGGAGCCAGCGUCCUCUUUCCCUGAUUCUGAAGUGUUAGAUGAGUUAUCAGAAGGGGAGUAUUCAGACAUUGAUAAUAUUGACGCAGAUAGAGACGAACAACAGGAGAUUGAACAUGAGGAUUUGAGUUUGUUGAAGCUGCCAGAGUUGAGGACAAUUGCAAAAUCUCGUGGUGUAAAAGCGUUUUCAAAGAUGAAGAAAGGUGAGCUAGUGGAGUUGCUAAGUGGUGGCUCAGUCUGAUUAACUGAUUCCUGAAAAAUGGCCAAGAGAAACAGAACCGAGUUUAGAUAGUUUUUGUUCUUUUUAUUAUUGGAAAUGCUCUUUUUUGUGCUCUUAUAGUUUAGUUCUUUCUUCUUUUCAUAAUUUCAUGACAUUUAUGAACCUUCAAAUUCUGUAGGAUGUUACUACUUUCCUGGUGAAGAUUUUGUUGGAAAAAAAAAAAAAAUCCGAGUCAUUUUUAUUUGUUAAGACUCCACGUUGUUGAACUCUUCAACCAGGACGAGAUGAAGUGAUGAACAGAGACGCUUGACUUGAAAAAGAUUAUCUGAAAUUUGCUGUAGUAACUUCUUUUUUUUAUGAGAUUUAG